This 491-nucleotide ribosomal RNA is filed under the name uncultured bacterium. Its description in RNAcentral is "partial 16S ribosomal RNA". It matches the Rfam family "Bacterial small subunit ribosomal RNA", at positions 29 to 506 of the family's 1533-position model. The record is from RNAcentral.
AGUGAACGCUGGCGGUAGGCCUAACACAUGCAAGUCGAACGGCAGCACAGUAAGAGCUUGCUCUUACGGGUGGCGAGUGGCGGACGGGUGAGGAAUACAUCGGAAUCUACUUUUUCGUGGGGGAUAACGUAGGGAAACUUACGCUAAUACCGCAUACGACCUACGGGUGAAAGCAGGGGAUCUUCGGACCUUGCGCGAUUGAAUGAGCCGAUGUCGGAUUAGCUAGUUGGCGGGGUAAAGGCCCACCAAGGCGACGAUCCGUAGCUGGUCUGAGGGGAUGAUCGGCCACACUGGAACUGGGACACGGCCCAGACUCCUACGGGAGGCAGCAGUGGGGAAUAUUGGACAAGGGGCGCAAGCCUGAUCCAGCCAUACCGCGUGGGUGAAGAAGGCCUUCGGGUUGUAAAGCCCUUUUGUUGGGAAAGAAAAGCAGCAGGUUAAGACCCCGCUGUUCUGACGGUACCCAAAGAAUAAGCACCGGCUAACUUCGU